CUUGUCCUACGGGGGGCAGCAGUAGGGAAUCUUCCACAAUGGACGAAAGUCUGAUGGAGCAACGCCGCGUGAGUGAAGAAGGGUUUCGGCUCGGAAAGCUCUGUUGGGAGUGAAGAAAGAUAGAGGUAGUAACUGGCCUUUAUUUGACGGUAAUUACUUAGAAAGUCACGGCUAACUACGUGCCAGCAGCCGCGGUAAUACGUAGGUGGCAAGCGUUGUCCGGAUUUAUUGGGCGUAAAGCGAGGGCAGGCGGGUGCA
RNAcentral lists this ribosomal RNA (258 nucleotides) under uncultured bacterium. RNAcentral describes it as "partial 16S ribosomal RNA". It matches the Rfam family "Bacterial small subunit ribosomal RNA", at positions 333 to 583 of the family's 1533-position model. The record is from RNAcentral.